GAGAACCAGACAAUCACACCCAUCCACUUACAAAAUCUAAUGGCUCUUAAUCCUCCCGUGUUUAACGCUGCAAACACGCAUUAUAAGCAACUAAAUAAUGCAUCGAUCGCUGACCCCGCUGCCGUUCGAAAAAGAAAAAAACUACCAACAACGCACGCACGCACGCACGCCCCCCGCACGACCUCUCGCCCCAUCCUCAUCCUCCCAUCCGACGCCAGCGCACGGGCGGGGACGCCGUUCCUCCCGCGCCCGCGCCGUUCCCCGCCCAAGUGGUUCGCCGCCCCGCCGCCCCGCCGCCACCCGUCCUCCCGCGCCGUCGCCGCCCGCCGUCCUCUCCUCCCGUGUCUCCUGCCGCUUGCCCCCACAUCGUGGUGCGCCAUAGGUGCCAUCCAGAUCGAGCACGGGGCAAAUCACCCCGCGUCUUCACCGACGGCAUCGGCUGUCUCAGGUCUAGGGUUUGCCCUGGUUCUCACGACUCCCUGUGUGCGGCUGUAGCGGUGGGAUGGACGGCGCCGGCGCCAUUGCGGACUCGCUGUUCGGCCGGCCCGUUGUGGUUCGGUUUUGUUUUGGUUGAUGCGGCUGUCUACCGAUGGAUUGACCAUUGGGGUUUGGAUUAGGUGCUUUUCUGGCUGAUUGGAUGGGUUUGGUGUCGACCAGUGCUUACCGUGGACAACACGACAGCAGUAAGAGCAGCGGCGACAGCUCGGACGCAACGCGCUUGGCCUGCGUCAGCGGCGGCGGCGGGGUCCAUCUCCUCCCUGGAGCAGCGGUGGUGGCGUGGGACACAGCGGGCUCGGCCGCGAAGAUGGAUUUCUCCGGCGGGGCAUUUGAAAAUGUCGAUAUGUCGACGAAUCCUCGCCUCUGUUCCUCGACCUUGCGUGAGGGAAGCCGCUGUCGCUGUUCCUCUACGCGACGGUGAUACACAUGGCGUAGCCUCUCCCUGAUCUUAUACUGCGUGCCUUGUUCAUCCAUAUAUGAUCUUAUUUUGUUUCAGUUUUUUGCUAGAUUUAACAUUGGCCUUUGUUCAAAUCCUAUUCAUGUUGAACCAUUGAAAGCGAGCACACAAAGCUGCAGAGGCAACCAGUCCAAAGGAAUCAGUACGGUCAUGCCAGUUCAUCCAACUGUUCACGCUCAACUACGUGUUGCAUUGCAAUUUGCAAGUAACCUUGCUUCAACAUAAAAAGAAUUGGGUGAUGGACGUGAUAUCAACAUGGUUAUGGACUACCAUGUAUGUACAUAAAUAUGUAUUCCCUUUGGCGUCGAGCUGCCGCCACCGCGGACUAGGCCGGCGGCAGGAGGGGAUAUGGGAUGGACCUGGCGGUGAUAGGGUUGGGGUCCCCUGGCGUUGCCCAGGGGAGGUGACGCGAGGGGGUGAAGAGACGCAACUUGAAACAUGACCCCGAGACCGCUGCUGAUGCCGCUGUGAUCGACUACGUCACCGACGACCCUCCUUCCCUUUCGACAGAGCUUCUAGGCAAGCCAACCCCCUUGAUCAUUCCGAUAUCGCCUAGUUCAUUCUCUCUCAUGCUUGCAUUAGAUUUUGCUAUUGUUAAUGAUUGCUCCUAUUCUGAUGCAUAGCCUGCUUUUGUAACCUGCUCAUUGUUCUACCUCCUUAUCCUAAACUGUUUAGUAUAGGUUGGUUACUGAUCCAUCAGUGACCCCACCUUGUCCUUGUUGCCCCUGCUUCAUGUAACAUCCCAAAUUUUUAAUUUGAAUGUUAUACAUUAGAUCA
Molecule: non-coding RNA, 1732 nt
Organism: Aegilops tauschii subsp. strangulata
Lineage: Eukaryota; Viridiplantae; Streptophyta; Magnoliopsida; Poales; Poaceae
Source: RefSeq, a predicted model, not a curated record